Molecule: long non-coding RNA, 434 nt
Filed under: Callithrix jacchus (white-tufted-ear marmoset)
Lineage: Eukaryota; Metazoa; Chordata; Mammalia; Primates; Cebidae
Description: lncRNA (ENSCJAG00000081334.1)
Source: RNAcentral
CAUCUGCACUGCUUCAAAGAAGUAUCUAUUUCAAUCUGUUCCUAUAAGUUAGUUAUUGAGAAACAACAGAUAAUCCCAAAAACAAGUUGACCUUUAGUGUUCCUUGAGCUUAGACGUGAAGGACCCUCGGGACUGAGCCUCGUGCCAAAUAACUCGUUACAAAAAGAGCUAGAAUUCCAGACCACACUGAAGCUUCAUGAGAUCGGGUGGCCGACUCUGGAGCACAGGCUGUUGCUUCCUGGUCUGGUGAUGAAUCCUCCAUAGUCUGCAGACAAAAGCUGACUCAGAGCCUCAGCUGGGUGGUUGCCCCCACCCUGGGGAGCCCAAGGGGAGGCACCCCCUGAGAUGUUCCAGGGCCCCAGGGUUCAGGCCCCGUGGCGACUGUGUAACCGUGGCUGUCAACAUUCACCUAAAAUUCUUCAGGGUCCUGGAAA